This 382-nucleotide long non-coding RNA is filed under the name Athene cunicularia (burrowing owl). Its description in RNAcentral is "lncRNA (ENSACUG00000014688.1)". The record is from RNAcentral. Lineage: Eukaryota; Metazoa; Chordata; Aves; Strigiformes; Strigidae.
AGUAGAACAGAGCAGAUACAGCUUUUCUAAUCUCUAAUAUCUUUGUCCCUUUAGCUAAGAAUGAAACUCGAAUAUGGCCUGCUGAAUCCAAAACACCAGAAGUUCAAGAAAUAUCCCCACAGUCCCUUCCAGCAACAAGUGAAUCCAUUCUGGAAUCUUUCACACCUAAAACUUUGCGUCCUUUUCAUUGGCCAAGCGUAACAUUAGCUCCAAAGGAAAUACCACUUAUUCCUUCUAAACUGAAACCAUCUGCUACCCCAGAAGUACAGCAUGUGAAACCUGGUAAUUGUGCACACCAUUUUUAUAAGUUGGUAGGCAGAGACAUAUGUUUACUAAAAAUAUCUAAGCAAAACUUCCCAAAAAGGACAGGAGCUAUGCAAUA